RNAcentral lists this ribosomal RNA (915 nucleotides) under uncultured archaeon. Its description in RNAcentral is "bacterial SSU rRNA". It matches the Rfam family "Archaeal small subunit ribosomal RNA", at positions 7 to 927 of the family's 1478-position model. The record is from RNAcentral.
GUUGAUCCUGCCGGAGGUUACUGCUAUCGAGGUUCGACUAAGCCAUGCGAGUCGAAUGUAGCAAUACAUGGCGAACUGCUCAGUAACACGUGGACAACCUGCCCUUAGGACGGGGAUAAACCCGGGAAACUGGGUAUAAUACCCGAUAGGUCUCGAUUGCUGGAAUGCAUCGAGAUUUAAAGCUCCGGCGCCUAAGGAUGGGUCUGCGGCCUAUCAGGUAGUAGUGGGUGUAGCGUACCUACUAGCCUACGACGGGUACGGGUUGUGAGAGCAAGAGCCCGGAGAUGGAUUCUGAGACACGAAUCCAGGCCCUACGGGGUGCAGCAGGCGCGAAAACUUUACAAUGCUGGCAACAGCGAUAAGGGAACCUCGAGUGCCAGGUUACAAAUCUGGCUGUCGAGAUGCCUAAAAAGCAUUUCAUAGCAAGGGCCGGGCAAGACCGGUGCCAGCCGCCGCGGUAACACCGGCGGCUCGAGUGGUAACCGUUAUUAUUGGGUCUAAAGGGUCUGUAGCCGGCCGGAUAAGUCUCUUGAGAAAUCUGGCAGCUUAACUGUCAGGCUUUCAGGAGAUACUGUCUGGCUCGAGGCCGGGAGAGGUGAGAGGUACUUCAGGGGUAGGGGUGAAAUCUUGUAAUCCUUGAAGGACCACCAGUGGCGAAGGCGUCUCACCAGAACGGACCUGACGGCAAGGGACGAAAGCUAGGGGCACGAACCGGAUUAGAUACCCGGGUAGUCCUAGCCGUAAACGAUACUCGCUAGGUGUCGGCCACGGUGCGACCGUUGUCGGUGCCGUAGGGAAGCCGUGAAGCGAGCCACCUGGGAAGUACGGCCGCAAGGCUGAAACUUAAAGGAAUUGGCGGGGGAGCACCACAACGGGUGGAGCUUGCGGGUUAAUUGGAUUCAACGCCGGGAAAGG